RNAcentral lists this ribosomal RNA (515 nucleotides) under uncultured bacterium. RNAcentral's name for it is "partial 16S ribosomal RNA". It matches the Rfam family "Bacterial small subunit ribosomal RNA", at positions 28 to 523 of the family's 1533-position model. The record is from RNAcentral.
GAUGAACGCUGGCGGCGUGCCUAAUACAUGCAAGUCGAGCGAAUGGAUUAAGAGCUUGCUCUUAUGAAGUUAGCGGCGGACGGGUGAGUAACACGUGGGUAACCUGCCCAUAAGACUGGGAUAACUCCGGGAAACCGGGGCUAAUACCGGAUAACAUUUUGAACCGCAUGGUUCGAAAUUGAAAGGCGGCUUCGUCUGUCACUUAUGGAUGGACCCGGGUCGCAUUAGCUCGUUGGUGAGGUAACGGCUCACCAAGGCAACGAUGCGUAGCCGACCUGAGAGGGUGAUCGGCCACACUGGGACUGAGACACGGCCCAGACUCCUACGGGAGGCAGCAGUAGGGAAUCUUCCGCAAUGGACGAAAGUCUGACGGAGCAACGCCGCGUGAGUGAUGAAGGCUUUCGGGUCGUAAAACUCUGUUGUUAGGGAAGAACAAGUGCUAGUUGAAUAAGCUGGCGCCUUGACGGUACCUAACCAGAAAGCCACGGCUAACUACGUGCCAGCCGCCGCCGUAA